Molecule: ribosomal RNA, 312 nt
Filed under: uncultured bacterium
Lineage: Bacteria
Description: bacterial SSU rRNA
Rfam family: Bacterial small subunit ribosomal RNA
Source: RNAcentral
GAUAAACGCUGGCGGCGCACAUAAGACAUGCAAGUCGAACGGACUUAACUCAUUCUUUUAGAUUGAGAGCGGUUAGUGGCGGACUGGUGAGUAACACGUAAGCAACCUGCCUAUUAGAGGGGAAUAACAGUGAGAAAUCAUUGCUAAUACCGCAUGAGACCUGAGGGUGAAAGCGGGGGAUCGCAAGACCUCGCGCAAUUGGAGCGGCCGAUGCCCGAUUAGCUAGUUGGUGAGGUAAAGGCUCACCAAGGCGACGAUCGGUAGCUGGUCUGAGAGGACGACCAGCCACACUGGGACUGAGACACGGCCCAG